RNAcentral lists this ribosomal RNA (218 nucleotides) under Oncorhynchus keta (chum salmon). RNAcentral's name for it is "partial 16S ribosomal RNA". Lineage: Eukaryota; Metazoa; Chordata; Actinopteri; Salmoniformes; Salmonidae. The record is from RNAcentral.
AUGGAGCUUUAGACACCCGGCAGAUCACGUCAAAAACCUUGAACUAACAAGUAAAAACGCAGUGACCCCUAGCCCAUAUGUCUUUGGUUGGGGCGACCGCGGGGGAAAAUAAAGCCCCCAUGUGGACUGGGGGCACUGCCCCCACAGCCGAGAGCUACAGCUCUAAGCACCAGAAUUUCUGACCAAAAAUGAUCCGGCAAACGCCGAUCAACGGACCG